This is a small nucleolar RNA of Dichanthelium oligosanthes, 107 nucleotides long. It matches the Rfam family "Plant small nucleolar RNA R71". From Rfam's summary of the family: R71 is a member of the C/D box family of snoRNAs containing the C (UGAUGA) and D (CUGA) box motifs. Multiple nearly identical copies of this snoRNA have been identified in Arabidopsis, and it is thought to function as a 2'-O-ribose methylation guide for 18S ribosomal RNA. The record is from Rfam. Lineage: Eukaryota; Viridiplantae; Streptophyta; Magnoliopsida; Poales; Poaceae.
AUUCCAUGGUGAGGGCAAGCCAAGAGAUACUCUUGGACGCGCUCCCAUGCUUCAGGGAUUGACUCAUCUUAUACCUGCUAGAAAUUGUUUAUCCUUCCACGAAGGGC